UACGGAGGGUGCAAGCGUUAUCCGGAUUCACUGGGUUUAAAGGGUGCGUAGGUGGGUUGGUAAGUCAGUGGUGAAAUCCCCGAGCUUAACUUGGGAACUGCCAUUGAUACUAUCAGUCUUGAAUACCGUGGAGGUUAGCGGAAUAUGUCAUGUAGCGGUGAAAUGUUUAGAUAUGACAUAGAACACCAAUUGCGAAGGCAGCUGGCUACACGAAUAUUGACACUGAGGCACGAAAGCGUGGGGAUCAAACAGG
Molecule: ribosomal RNA, 253 nt
Filed under: uncultured bacterium
Lineage: Bacteria
Description: partial 16S ribosomal RNA
Rfam family: Bacterial small subunit ribosomal RNA
Source: RNAcentral